CACCAGCUCAGACAAAUCUUUACAGUCACAGUGACAGUCCACUGGGUCUUCAGUUAUGACUGAGCAAGGACUCUGGUGUCCAGGUAUAAUUAAAAUACACUCAGACCUAGACUGGAAAAGCCUUCAGCACAGAAUGAGGUCAUCUUUUAAAUUUCACUAUUCACUUUCACUUCUCCACAUGACUGCUUGGUUGGAGGUCACAGUGUGGUCAGGAAGACGGAUAUUAUAUCUCCAAGGACUAAAUGAGAAAAGUCAGUAGAGGCACUGGCAAGGUGCUGGAGGGAAGGGAACACACUAAUAGGUUGGACCUCAUUGUAAUCAGGGUUUCCAAGGGAAUAGAUUUAAUACAGGAUACAUAAUUUGCAGGAUUAUUUUAUAAUAUUCACCCAAAAAGUCAAAUGCAGAGGAGUGCAAGAGAUCUGUCCACAUGAUAGAGACCCCAAGAAUCCAGCUAGGGGAGGACCUGGAUCCCAAGGCAAUGUCCCACACAAGUCCAGAUAAAGGCCUACAGCCCAAGGUAAUGUCCUCCAUGAGUCCAGCCAGAGGCCCAGCGCCCACAGCAAUGUCUGAUGCGAGUCUCUAUCAAGGAUCUGCCCCAGGAAGACCUAGGCCAGUGGCAGAAGCUAGAAAAUCUGCACCAGCGGGGUGGGUGAAGGAUCUGUGCUGCCAGGCUGAGGGAUCUGCACUGAUACCAGGAAGCGAUGCUGAAGGCGAAGAUCAGAGGUCCCCUGAGAACAGCAGCCAUCUCUGGCAACAGCGCUGUCCUCUGAUGAUGAGAAGAAGCUGAGUUCAUAUCAGGACAACCAGCUGUGGCAAGCUUCUCCACAAAAAUCAACAGCAUACAAUCUUUCCUUCCAGUUCUUUUGUGCCUUUGGCAACAAUCCCCAGUUAUAGAGGUUAUAGUUUCCACUUUGUCCAGUUAAUUGGUGAACAGCCUAUUUUUUAUGAAGUAGCCUCAGUUUCAUUUGGGAUGAUUGGAUUUAUAGGCACUCUUAGUGUAUGUUGAGUCAAUUUUGUCUUCAUAUCUCUCAUCGGCCUUACCUAUAGUUAGCAGAUCCUUAGAGAAUAUAUUUAGUCUCUCUCUUAUGUAAAAUUCCUUCCUGUAUUUUUUUUUAAAAAAGACAUUUGUGUGGUCCUGUCACCUUUCCCUUUUCAUUCACUAGUUCCUGCCAACGUGGUUCAUAGGACAUGGGUUUUGGUUGUUUUUUUAAAAGUACAGUAGUAAUUAUUAUGUAAAGUUGUAGUACCAGUAAUUGGUAUGUCAUUUGUUUUCUAUUAAACAGUCAUCUUCAUGUGUCUGGUACCUUGUCUGUCUUGUCCAUCAUUUAUGCCCAGCACCAAAAUCAAUG
Molecule: long non-coding RNA, 1349 nt
Organism: Heterocephalus glaber (naked mole-rat)
Lineage: Eukaryota; Metazoa; Chordata; Mammalia; Rodentia; Bathyergidae
Source: Ensembl